RNAcentral lists this ribosomal RNA (254 nucleotides) under Vibrio parahaemolyticus. RNAcentral's name for it is "partial 23S ribosomal RNA". It matches the Rfam family "Bacterial large subunit ribosomal RNA", at positions 295 to 557 of the family's 2925-position model. Lineage: Bacteria; Pseudomonadati; Pseudomonadota; Gammaproteobacteria; Vibrionales; Vibrionaceae. The record is from RNAcentral.
AAAUUGGACUAGCCCUUAAGCUUUACACGCGUUAGACGAACGGUCUGGAAAGUCCGGCGAUACAGGGUGAUAGUCCCGUAGUUGACGACGUGUGUUCAGUGAAAUCGAGUAGGGCGGGACACGUGAUAUCCUGUCUGAAUAUGGGGGGACCAUCCUCCAAGGCUAAAUACUACUGACUGACCGAUAGUGAACCAGUACCGUGAGGGAAAGGCGAAAAGAACCCCUGUGAGGGGAGUGAAAUAGAACCUGAAACC